CUUGUGUGGAAAAUCUUUUAGUUUGAGGAAUACCUUAAAGACACACAAACGCAUUCACAGUGGAGUUAAACCAUUCAAGUGUAACCUGUGUGGAAAGUGUUUUACUCUAAAGAAUAACCUAAAUAGUCAUACGCUCAUCCACACUGGAGAGAAACCAUUCAGCUGUGACUUGUGUGGAAAACCUUUUAGACAGAAGAGUGGGCUAAAAAAUCACCAACUCAUCCACAGUGGAGUUAAGGCUUACAAGUGUGAUCAGUGCGGUAAAUCUUAUACUCGCAAUGAUGCCUUACAGACUCAUCAAGUUUCCCACUCUGGAAUUAAGGCGUACAGCUGUGACUUUUGUGGGAAAACCUUUAACAACCUUGGACGCCGAAAUAAACACCAACGCAUUCACACUGGAGAGGAUGUGUACUGCUGUGAUCAGUGUGACAAAUGGUUUACAACAUAUGCAAACUUACAAAUCCACAAAAUUACCCACACCGAAGAGAGAUCCUAUAAAUGUGACCUGUGUGAGAAGGCUUUUAAAUAUCCACAUUCCCUGAAAGAACACCAACAGAUCCACACCAGAAAAAGACUCUACAAGUGCAGUUACUGUGAGAAGCAGAGCGACACAGAUGGAUCCAGUUCUCAACCCUGUCAUCACUGUGG
This is an RNA transcript of Haplochromis burtoni (Burton's mouthbrooder), 648 nucleotides long. RefSeq lists it as uncharacterized. The record is from RefSeq and is a predicted model, not a curated record. NCBI's taxonomy places the organism in Eukaryota, Metazoa, Chordata, Actinopteri, Cichliformes, Cichlidae. The transcript is spliced from 2 exons.